GGUGGACUUCUGCUUUUCAACUCUAGCGUAGUCCCCUCAUUCUCCAGCUUUCCACUCACCUGAAGCCUAGGAACUACAAAGAUGUGAAUUAUUUAAAGAAAUGUUUUCAGUUCAGUUGUUCUCACAGACAUGUCGGUGCUGUCUAUACCUGAGUGGAUUACACACUAAUUCAGAUCAUAUAAAUAUUUAGUCUGCAAAGAUUUGUACUACAGUAGUACAGGAAACAUAGAUGAUAUAUUAAGGACAGUAUGUCAUUAGCUGUGUUAAACAUUCACAGCUACAUAUAAAAAGGAUGCCAUUUCUGAAUGUAGCCUUUUAAAAUUGCUAUGUAUAGCUACAUAAAAUAGAUACGUGAUUUUUAUAAAUGCAGCUAAACUGUAGCUAAAGGAAACACACCAGUGCAACAUUUCACACCUCGGAAAUGAAACAAUUAAAAUAUGUCUUGGUGGUAGCUAAAUUAUGGUGAAGUAAUUUUAAAUUCAUCAGACAGAUGAGGCUUAAUGUACCCAACUAUCCACUUCAGUCCACAAUGGUUGUGUCUAUAGGUACACAAAUCAUUGUGUUAGAAAACACCAUUAAACAAGAUUUUGUCUUUAGGAUCAACAAGAAUUUUAAAAGUGUUAGUAAAUAUGUUUUCUAGCACAAUCCACUUUCAAGUAUAGAUCAAACCAAUAUAUGGAAAGAGCUAUCCCUUGAUCCAGCAAUGCCACACAGAUUUCUGCAUGGAACCACAUUAACCUCCACUAGGCUCCAGUGAAGGUGCAGGGACAGGAGUUCAUUGCAACAUUGGAACCUUAUACCUAUGUUUAAUGUGAUGGGACUACUCAUUCUGAAAGAUACGUGGGAUGAGCCAUGGGGAGAAACUGCAGUUGAAGAGGGGAACAACUCCCCAUGUGCCCAUUUUCAUUGAGCAAAUGGUGAAAUAUCAGCCAUAGAAAGAAAUAAAUCGACAGUGGGGAAUGCUUCACAAAUGGAAAACAAUAGCCAAGCCCAGCGGUAACAAUCUGGAAGGAGUAUGGCCCAAAUGGAUUGUCGAAAUUCGGGGCCCCUUGGGCAUUUCAGUUUGGAAACAGAAAUUGAGAACAAUCAGGUAUUUCUUUGGGGCAGUUUUGUUUAUUCAGAAAGAAUGUGCAAAGUCCUGUGUCUUUAAACCCAGAAGGAACCAUGGACAGAAAACAGCUUCUUUUGCUCAAAGCAUCAAGAGUGCUCUGUGCUUUUGUAACCUACAUGCCUACUAAGGAUACCUAGCAAGAAGGGGGGUGAGAAUUGACUAAGUUGUGUCAGGGUUAUUGUUACUAAUGCUGAGGGAAAAUCUUGAUUGCUAUGGUUGUCCCCUAGUCUCCAUCUUGGUUUUUCAAAACAACAAGAAGGACUCCAUGUUGGACACCCUCCUUCAUGGAGAGCUUCCCACCUCCUCUCCAUGCCUUUCUCAGAUUAGAAUGGGAAAAGGCAUCAGGUGGUUAGAAUCAUGACUGUACAGUCUGCCUAGCAACUGCAAACUGUUGAGGUGGCAGCCUCCCAGCUUCUUGGUGCUGUCCAUCCAAGUGGCAGGCUCUGUCUCCCAUACUACUAGCCUGUGAAAUGUGUUCUAGCUAGGCCAGGAUUGUAGCAUAUGUAAGCAGGGUCAGGGUAAGCUCUACCCUGACAUCUGGUGGUGAACUGUGGCAAGUGGUGCAAAGAGACUUCAGGG
Molecule: long non-coding RNA, 1690 nt
Organism: Pelodiscus sinensis (Chinese soft-shelled turtle)
Lineage: Eukaryota; Metazoa; Chordata; Testudines; Trionychidae
Source: RefSeq, a predicted model, not a curated record